CCUACGGGCAGCAGCAGUGGGGAAUAUUGGACAAUGGGCGAAAGCCUGAUCCAGCCAUGCCGCGUGUGUGAAGAAGGCCUUCGGGUUGUAAAGCACUUUCAGUGGGGAAGAAAGCCUUGGGGCUAAUACCCUCGAGGAAGGACAUCACCCACAGAAGAAGCACCGGCUAACUCCGUGCCAGCAGCCGCGGUAAUACGGAGGGUGCGAGCGUUAAUCGGAAUUACUGGGCGUAAAGCGCGCGUAGGCGGUCUGAUAAGCCGGUUGUGAAAGCCCCGGGCUCAACCUGGGAACGGCAUCCGGAACUGUCAGGCUAGAGUGCAGGAGAGGAAGGUAGAAUUCCCGGUGUAGCGGUGAAAUGCGUAGAGAUCGGGAGGAAUACCAGUGGCGAAGGCGGCCUUCUGGACUGACACUGACGCUGAGGUGCGAAAGCGUGGGUAGCAAACAGGAUUAGAUACUCGAGUAGUC
Molecule: ribosomal RNA, 465 nt
Filed under: Vreelandella stevensii
Lineage: Bacteria; Pseudomonadati; Pseudomonadota; Gammaproteobacteria; Oceanospirillales; Halomonadaceae
Description: partial 16S ribosomal RNA
Rfam family: Bacterial small subunit ribosomal RNA
Source: RNAcentral